AGAGUUGAUUAUGGCUCAGGAUGAACGCUAGCGACAGGACUUAACACAUGCAAGUCGGAGGGGCAGCAAUAAAAGUAGCAAUACGUUGGUGGCGGACCGGCGCACGGGUGAGUAACGCGUAUGCAACCUACCUAUCAGAGGGGAAUAACCCGGACGAAAGUCGGACUAAUACCGCAUAAAACAGGGGCACCGCAUGGUGAUAUUUGUUAAAGAAAUUCGCUGAUAGAUGGGCAUGCGUUCCAUUAGGUAGUUGGUGAGGUAACGGCUCACCAAGCCGACGAUGGAUAGGGGAACUGAGAGGUUGGUCCCCCACACUGGUACUGAGACACGGACCAGACUCCUACGGGAGGCAGCAGUGAGGAAUAUUGGUCAAUGGGCGGGAGCCUGAACCAGCCAAGUCGCGUGAAGGGAAAAGGAAGGAUCUAUGGUUCGUAAUCUUCUUUUGCAGGGGAAUAAAGUGCAGGACGUGUCCUGUUUUGUAUGUACCCUGAGAAUAAGGAUCGGCUAACUCCGUGCCAGCCGCUGC
Molecule: ribosomal RNA, 526 nt
Filed under: uncultured bacterium
Lineage: Bacteria
Description: bacterial SSU rRNA
Rfam family: Bacterial small subunit ribosomal RNA
Source: RNAcentral